UACGUAGGGUGCGAGCGUUAAUCGGAAUUACUGGGCGUAAAGCGCGCGUAGGCGGCCGACCAAGUCAGGUGUGAAAGGCCCGAGCUCAACUUGGGAACUGCACUUGAUACUGGUUGGCUCGAGGCCGGGAGAGGGUAGUGGAAUUCCCAGUGUAGAGGUGAAAUUCGUAGAUAUUGGGAAGAACACCAGUGGCGAAGGCGACUGACUGGACAAGUAUUGACGCUGAGGUGCGAAAGCGUGGGGAGCAAACAGG
Molecule: ribosomal RNA, 253 nt
Filed under: uncultured bacterium
Lineage: Bacteria
Description: partial 16S ribosomal RNA
Rfam family: Bacterial small subunit ribosomal RNA
Source: RNAcentral